AUUGAACGCUGGCGGCAUGCCUUACACAUGCAAGUCGAACGGUAGCAGGUCUUCGGAUGCUGACGAGUGGCGAACGGGUGAGUAAUACAUCGGAACGUGCCUAGUAGUGGGGGAUAACUACUCGAAAGAGUGGCUAAUACCGCAUGAGAUCUACGGAUGAAAGCAGGGGAACGCAAGACCUUGUGCUACUAGAGCGGCCGAUGGCAGAUUAGGUAGUUGGUGGGAUAAAAGCUUACCAAGCCGACGAUCUGUAGCUGGUCUGAGAGGACGAUCAGCCACACUGGGACUGAGACACGGCCCAGACUCCUACGGGAGGCAGCAGUGGGGAAUUUUGGACAAUGGGCGAAAGCCUGAUCCAGCAAUGCCGCGUGCAGGAUGAAGGCCUUCGGGUUGUAAACUGCUUUUGUACGGAACGAAAAGCCCCGGGUUAAUACCCUGGGGUCAUGACGGUACCGUAAGAAUAAGCACCGGCUAACUACGUGCCAGCCGCCGCGGUAA
This 498-nucleotide ribosomal RNA is filed under the name uncultured bacterium. Its description in RNAcentral is "partial 16S ribosomal RNA". It matches the Rfam family "Bacterial small subunit ribosomal RNA", at positions 30 to 523 of the family's 1533-position model. The record is from RNAcentral.